GGGGAGUGCUCGAAAGAGAACCUGCACACAGGUGCUGCAUGGCUGUCGUCAGCUCGUGUCGUGAGAUGUUGGGUUAAGUCCCGCAACGAGCGCAACCCUUGUCAUUAGUUGCUACGAAAGGGCACUCUAAUGAGACUGCCGGUGACAAACCGGAGGAAGGUGGGGAUGACGUCAAGUCCUCAUGGCCCUUAUGGGUAGGGCUUCACACGUCAUACAAUGGUACAUACAGAGGGCCGCCAACCCGCGAGGGGGAGCUAAUCCCAGAAAGUGUAUCGUAGUCCGGAUUGUAGUCUGCAACUCGACUGCAUGAAGUUGGAAUCGCUAGUAAUCGCGGAUCAGCAUGUCGCGGUGAAUACGUUCCCGGGUCUUGUACACACCGCCCGUCACACCAUGGGAGCGGGUUUUACCAGAAGUAGGUAGCUUAACCGCAAGGAGGGCGCUUACCACGGUAGGAUUCGUGACUGGGGUGAAGUCGUAACAAGGUAGCCGUAUCGGAAGGUGCGGCUGGAUCACCUCCUUUCUAG
This 524-nucleotide ribosomal RNA is filed under the name Rugamonas fusca. RNAcentral describes it as "bacterial SSU rRNA". It matches the Rfam family "Bacterial small subunit ribosomal RNA", at positions 1009 to 1533 of the family's 1533-position model. Lineage: Bacteria; Pseudomonadati; Pseudomonadota; Betaproteobacteria; Burkholderiales; Oxalobacteraceae. The record is from RNAcentral.